AGUAAAAGUCGUAACAAGGUUUCCGUAGGUGAACCUGCGGAAGGAUCAUUAUUGAAUAAACUUGAUGUAGUUGAGCUGACUCUCUCGGGAGUAUGUGCUCGCUCGUCAUCUUUAUCUUUCCACCUGUGCACUUUUUGUAGAUUUGGAUGUAACUGUCCGAGGCAACUCGGUUGGGAGGAAUGCUGUCUCUGAUGGCUUUCCUUGUAUGUCCAAGUCUAUGUUUUCAUAUACUCCAAGUAUGUAACAGAAUGUAUCACUGGGCCUUGUGCCUAUAAACUAUAUACAACUUUCAGCAACGGAUCUCUUGGCUCUCGCAUCGAUGAAGAACGCAGCGAAAUGCGAUAAGUAAUGUGAAUUGCAGAAUUCAGUGAAUCAUCGAAUCUUUGAACGCACCUUGCGCCCCUUGGUAUUCCGAGGGGCAUGCCUGUUUGAGUGUCAUUAAAUUCUCAACCUUACUAGCUUUUGCGAAGUAAUGGCUUGGACUUGGGGGUGUUUUUGCUGGUUUCGAAAGAGAUCUGCUCCCCUUAAAUGCAUUAGCCGGUGCCCCGCGUGGACCGUCUAUUGGUGUGAUAAUUAUCUACGCCGUUAGAUGUCUGCUAUUAAAUGGGAUGUGCUGCUUCURAUCGUCCUUCWGGACAAUUAUUGACCAUUUGACCUCAAAUCAGGUAGGACUACCCGCU
Molecule: ribosomal RNA, 680 nt
Filed under: Gymnopilus purpureosquamulosus
Lineage: Eukaryota; Fungi; Basidiomycota; Agaricomycetes; Agaricales; Galerinaceae
Description: eukaryotic LSU rRNA
Source: RNAcentral